This is a non-coding RNA of Zootoca vivipara (common lizard), 420 nucleotides long. The record is from RefSeq and is a predicted model, not a curated record. Lineage: Eukaryota; Metazoa; Chordata; Lepidosauria; Squamata; Lacertidae.
GCGUUUCACCUCUAGAGGGCCUAGAAGGAGUUAAGUUGCCAGGGAGGGAAACGACCAAUGGGAGCUCUCCAGCCAGAAGCAGGGUGUAUAUAGAGAGAAGCAGGCAGGCAGGAUGAGAUGAUGGGAGAGUUGAGAGAGUUAGAUGUGAGGGGAGAGAGAUAGAUGAGAGGAGCUGGUGUGAAGAAUAGAGCUGGUUAAUAUUGUGGUGGCUGUUAAAUAGCGAGAUAGACAGGAUAUAGUGUUAGGAGUUUAGUGAUAAUUAUUAUUAGUAUUAUUUAGAGGUAAUAGGCCGGUAAAUCAUAUUUAGAGGUAUUAGGCCGGUAUAGGAACCAUCUGUGAUUUUGGAAACCGUUUAAGCUUUGUACAGUAACCAAUACGCAUAAGAGUAUUCAAUAAACUAUUCUGUUUUAUUUUACUAUA